UAAGCAGCGUUUCUCGUUUCACUUCAUCAGAAUGUCUAACCUUAGAUUCGCUAAUGUAUUUCUAAUGGACACUUAUCAUCAUCAAUCGCUUAAACCUAAGGUCAUUGAAAUGAAAUACGCUGGCGAUACUUGCAACAUCUUCUAUUUAUCGAACCGGACGGAAUAAUGUUUGCAGUGCUAAUUAGUGCCAAUUUCGCAACGAGAUUCGAAAAAUAGGAUCUGGGAGUAAGAAAAUAAGCGAUGCGUCGCGCGGCGAUUGUGAAACGAGAUUGAGGGCGAAACAGAUCCGAAACGGGCAGCGGCAAAACGCAACGAGAAAUUUCACGCUCCAUGAAACGGACCGACCUUCCACGACCGCAAGAACGCGCGUGUGAAAUGACUGUUUCCAGUGAGAUAGUACUUCCACGCGAGAAUCAUAAUAAUGAGUCGGAUUUCUCGGUGUGCUCGUACUUACAACGCAUCUCGUUAAAACCGAUGUUAACCCAUACGUGCCGCGCGCCGUGGCAUAAUCAUGGUUGUUGUAAAGCAACGUCAUAAUAAAAGCUAUUAAAAAAUUCAUUGGGUGGUGUUUUGACGUAGUCGUUGACCGUGAAGUACAUAAAUGAAAAAAGAAAGAUAUUUGCUUUUUCAUUAUCGGCAGUUUAUUUG
Molecule: long non-coding RNA, 648 nt
Organism: Wasmannia auropunctata (little fire ant)
Lineage: Eukaryota; Metazoa; Arthropoda; Insecta; Hymenoptera; Formicidae
Exons: 3
Source: RefSeq, a predicted model, not a curated record